Molecule: long non-coding RNA, 210 nt
Filed under: Haliotis rubra (blacklip abalone)
Lineage: Eukaryota; Metazoa; Mollusca; Gastropoda; Lepetellida; Haliotidae
Description: uncharacterized LOC124289907, transcript variant X1
Source: RNAcentral
UUUUCACAUAUAGGAGGCCUAACACCUGUGAAGAGAAGACUGGUCAAAUUUGAAGAUUUGACAAGUGGGUCAGGAUUACUUUCCACAGGAGCAGAAAAGACACCACCAUUUCUCAGUCAGACAACUGUUGACACUGCAACCCAAGUGGCACCAUUUUCAAGUGAGGAACCAUAUUCUGACAGACGGCCAAUUAGAUCUCUUCCAAGUGAG